UUUUUUAAAGAAAAAGAAUUUUAAAAUAAUAAAAGAAAAAAAAUUAAAAUCAGAAACAACCAGGAGCGUUGGACCACGCUUCACUAAUUGACGUGGUAGAUUCAACACUCCAAAUGAUGAGAAACAUGAUGGAACACGCUGCAAUCAGAACAAAUGAUCCAAUUUGAAUUUAACCAAUCAAAACAUUUCAAAAUGCCAAUGUGUCUGGUCGGAACUCAGACCACCUGAGAAAUAUUUCGAUCAUCUUCUCCGAUGAGCUCUCAUUGGAGUUU
Molecule: long non-coding RNA, 272 nt
Filed under: Lathyrus oleraceus (garden pea)
Lineage: Eukaryota; Viridiplantae; Streptophyta; Magnoliopsida; Fabales; Fabaceae
Description: Pisum sativum (pea) long non-coding RNA (PSAT_LNC000548)
Source: RNAcentral